CCGUCUAGUAAACAAUAAUAGGGUUUUUUUGUCCAGCUAACUUUUGAAACCUAUAUUCCUUAAGACUUUGUUUUGGAAGAAGUAAAGGUAUGCAUCCCUACCUUAGAAUAUUUUUCUUAAUGCUAAUGUUAGCUGGUGUUGGACGACUGAACACAUUAGCACCAUUGGUUGGCUUGUACUCGUGGCUUUUCCUACCAGUGGUUAUAAAGAAAUUCUUGAGUCUUAUAGGAUUCAGGCAAGUUGGGAUCGCCCGUGGCACUCUAGCGUCGUUUCUUCGGUCUAGAUCUGAAAUGUACGGGGUCGGUAGAAGGAUCGUCGGUACCUUGCAGUCCAUCGGCAUGUCUAGGAUCAGAUUCAAGUCGCGGGUACGCGGUGCCAUGGCUGGGAGCAUAGUGCUAGUACUGGUGAACUUUGUUAUUGGAAGUUUCUUCCCCGACGCCAUCGUUAAAGAAUGGACAUCAGGGGAACUUCCGAUCAUUGAUGGUGGACGAAAUGCUAGUGAAAAAUGAAAGCGCUGAUGCGCAAUUGUAUAGCCGCGGGUAGUUGUCUGGUUAGGUAAUUCUGUAACUGUCUACACUUAAAUACUGUUGCUACCUGGAUAAAUGCUAAUGCUACCCGGUUCGACACUGCUGCUACCAAGUUAGAUAUGGCUACCACCUGGUUUAAUACUGCAGCAGUAAACUUGUAAAGUUUUGUCCUCAAAACCCAGUUGAAAAAGAGUGUGAUGAUGUAUAGAGUACCAAAUAGCAAUCAUUUCGUUCGUAUUUCUUCUUAAUUAUUCUUAAUUUUAGUGUUGGAAUGGAUUCCUUCCAAUAUAAUUUACGUAUAUGUGUCAACUGGUAACGCGCCGAUUUUCUUCAAAGUUCUUUCAAAGUCGUAAUGAGACAAAAGUUAUAGCUAAUAGGGCUGGUAAGUAGGUCACCAACCAGUUCUACGGCUCUUACAUGACAGUUUACUUUAUCUAGUUAUUACUGGUGUGGAAGAUGU
Long non-coding RNA from Physella acuta, 987 nucleotides. RefSeq lists it as uncharacterized. NCBI's taxonomy places the organism in Eukaryota, Metazoa, Mollusca, Gastropoda, Physidae. The record is from RefSeq and is a predicted model, not a curated record.